Molecule: ribosomal RNA, 135 nt
Filed under: uncultured bacterium
Lineage: Bacteria
Description: partial 16S ribosomal RNA
Rfam family: Bacterial small subunit ribosomal RNA
Source: RNAcentral
GUGGGGAAUUUUGCGCAAUGGGGGAAACCCUGACGCAGCAACGCCGCGUGGAGGAUGAAAUCCCUUGGGAUGUAAACUCCUUUCGAUCGGGACGAUUAUGACGGUACCGGAAGAAGAAGCCCCGGCUAACUUCGU